AUUGAACGCUGGCGGCAGGCUUAACACAUGCAAGUCGAGCGGGGUGAUGGUGCUUGCACUAUCACUUAGCGGCGGACGGGUGAGUAAUGCUUAGGAAUCUGCCUAUUAGUGGGGGACAACAUCUCGAAAGGGAUGCUAAUACCGCAUACGUCCUACGGGAGAAAGCAGGGGAUCACUUGUGACCUUGCGCUAAUAGAUGAGCCUAAGUCGGAUUAGCUAGUUGGUGGGGUAAAGGCCUACCAAGGCGACGAUCUGUAGCGGGUCUGAGAGGAUGAUCCGCCACACUGGGACGGAGGCACGGCCCAGACUCCUACGGGAGGCAGCAGUGGGGAAUAUUGGACAAUGGGGGGAACCCUGAUCCAGCCACGCCGCGUGUGUGAAGAAGGCCUUAUGGUUGUAAAGCACUUUAAGCGAGGAGGAGGCUCUUUUGGUUAAUACCCAAGAUGAGUGGACGUUACUCGCAGAAUAAGCACCGGCUAACUCUGUGCCAGCAGCCGCCGUAA
Molecule: ribosomal RNA, 503 nt
Filed under: uncultured bacterium
Lineage: Bacteria
Description: partial 16S ribosomal RNA
Rfam family: Bacterial small subunit ribosomal RNA
Source: RNAcentral